GAUGAGUGCUUGCGGCGUGCCUAACACAUGCAAGUCGAGCGGCAGCGCGAGUAGUUUACUACUUGGCGGCGAGCGGCGGACGGCUGAGUAACGCGUGGGAACGUGCCCCAAAGUGAGGGAUAACUGCCCGAAAGGGUGGCUAAUACCGCAUAUGAUCUUCGGAUUAAAGGAUUUAUCCGCUUUGGGAGCGGCCCGCGUUAGAUUAGGUAGUUGGUGAGGUAAUGGCUCACCAAGCCGACGAUCUAUAGCUGGUCUGAGAGGAUGAUCAGCCAGACUGGAACUGAGACACGGUCCAGACUCCUACGGGAGGCAGCAGUGAGGAAUCUUCCACAAUGGGCGAAAGCCUGAUGGAGCAACGCCGCGUGAAGGAUGAAGGCCCUAGGGUUGUAAACUUCUUUUAUAAGUGAAGAAUAUGACGGUAACUUAUGAAUAAGCACCGGCUAACUACGUGCCAGCCGCCGCCGUAA
RNAcentral lists this ribosomal RNA (467 nucleotides) under uncultured bacterium. RNAcentral describes it as "partial 16S ribosomal RNA". It matches the Rfam family "Bacterial small subunit ribosomal RNA", at positions 28 to 523 of the family's 1533-position model. The record is from RNAcentral.